RNAcentral lists this unclassified non-coding RNA (236 nucleotides) under Hevea brasiliensis (rubber tree). Lineage: Eukaryota; Viridiplantae; Streptophyta; Magnoliopsida; Malpighiales; Euphorbiaceae. The record is from RNAcentral.
GAAUGGUCCUCGACCUGAAUCGGAUUCUUCUCAUCCCCUUGCAAAGUUAGGACAUAAGAUUGGCGGACCCGCUGAAAUGCCCUUUCCUGAAGAGGACAGUUUAAUCAUAAGCGAUUCUAUGAAUUUUCAGAAUCUCAUUUCUAUUGGGAAUUCUGCUAAACCUCAACAACUGUUCCCGCACAGCACGCAAGAGAAUAAUGCUUCAAUGCUUAACCCUGCUUACAAAGACGAAAGAC